Molecule: ribosomal RNA, 254 nt
Filed under: uncultured bacterium
Lineage: Bacteria
Description: partial 16S ribosomal RNA
Rfam family: Bacterial small subunit ribosomal RNA
Source: RNAcentral
GACGUAGGGUGCAAGCGUUGUCCGGAUUUACUGGGCGUAAAGAGCGCGUAGGCGGUCUGUUAAGUGUAGAGUGAAAUCUCUGGGCUCACCCCGGAAACUGCUCUGCAUACUGGCAGACUUGAGGGAAGCAGAGGUUUGUGGAAUUCCUGGUGUAGCGGUGAAAUGCGUUGAUAUCAGGAGGAACACCCAUGGCGAAGGCAGCAAACUGGGCUUCAUCUGACGCUGAUGACGCGAAAGCGUGGGUAGCAAACAGG